RNAcentral lists this unclassified non-coding RNA (268 nucleotides) under fungal sp. RNAcentral describes it as "partial internal transcribed spacer region". The stretch from base 1 to 46 matches the Rfam family "Eukaryotic small subunit ribosomal RNA", at positions 1786 to 1831 of the family's 1831-position model. The record is from RNAcentral. Lineage: Eukaryota; Fungi.
AAGUCGUAACAAGGUUUCCGUAGGUGAACCUGCGGAAGGAUCAUUAAAUUCAGUAGCUUGCUACUGUUAGGGGGGGUCUAUUAGUCUGUAUAGUAUCACUACUGAUGAGCAGCACGACCCUCUGUCUAUACCCUUGUCUUUUGCGCACUCAUGUUUCCUCGGCGGCUUGAUACCCGCCGGCUGGAUCAAUCUGUAACCUUUUUAAUUUUCAAUCAGCGUCUGAAAAACCUAAUAAUUACAACUUUCAACAACGGAUCUCUUGGUUCUG